GUUAUACAUCUCUACCAUUACCUAGCCUGAAAAGCCACCUCAGAUUCAGCCAACAAAGAUUGCUGAUUUGCUCCUUAAGCAAGAGAUUCACUGCUGCUCAGCAUGGCUCAGACCAACUCAUGCUUCAUGCUGAUCUCCUGCCUGAUGUUCCUGUCUCUGAGCCAAGGACAGGAGGCCCAUGCUGAGUUGCCCAAGGCCCAGAUCAGCUGCCCAGAAGGCACCAGUGCCUAAGGCUCCCACUGCUACUACUUUAAUGAAGAGCAUGAGACCUGGGUUUAUGCAGAUCUCUACUGCCAGAACAUGAAUUCAGGUAACCUGGUGUCUGUGCUCACCCAGGCUGAGGGUGCCUUUGUGGCUUCGCUGAUUAAAGAGAGUGGCACCAAGGAUAGCAAUGUCUGGAUUGGCCUCCAUGACCCCCACCGGAUCAGUCUGCUGCAUCUUCUACCUCCUGAUUAUCAGGUUCCAGAGGGUCUGAUGUCUGGCACCUCAAGCAUCAGUUUUUACUAUAUUAUGAUAAAAGCAACCUCUCUAUAAAUCAUAUAAUGUAAAGGAUAUCAAGGUUCUCCAUAGGUUCUUCGAGAUAAGCUUAAAGCUGAAUUUCCUGUGUGUUUCAGGCAUUCACAGAUAAACUCAUUCUCUGUACUUCUAGGGUAGCAUCUUUAUGUAUCUAUUAUGUACCUCUUAUCUAUUGUGUUAUCAUCUCUGUUAUAGAAGAGCCUUCUGUAGACCAUAUAGAAAAAGAUUAUAGAGGAGGAGAAUCUACUGCUGGCAAUUGGGAACCGCAAGGUAUACUAAAUAAUAUAUCAACAACUAAUGGCCAUCUAAUGCUAUGCUGGAUAUGAACUUUUGGGGCCUCAGGAAAGAAAAACCAGGAACUAGUUUCAAUAAUGAGGUGUCAUGGUUCCCUGUGGCAAAUUUAGAACACUUAUCGUUUGGCAGGACACAGAGAGGUAGGUGAACAUUCCAGGAAAGAAGCAGCUUAGAGAAAAUGUGGAGGAAAUAAUAUGACACUUAGAGAAAAAGGAAGGUUUAUUCUUGUCUUAUGUCUUGACCUGUUUCUGAGUGCGAACACAAACCAGGUGUUUCUGUCUCUUUCUGAGUCACGUCUGCCCCUGUUCUGGCCCUUCCCCAUCUAGAACUGCCAUUAUCAGUGGAGUAGUGGGUCCCUGGUCUCCUACAAAUCCUGGGACAUUGGAUCCCCAAGCUGUGCCAAUACUGCCUACUGUGCUAGCCUGACUUCAAGCUCAGGUGAGAGGCACAGAAUCCACACACUUAUUGCCAUCCUCUCCUAUUUAUCUCUGAGGAUCGACCGGGGACUGGGAUAGAGGAAGGGUGAGCUCCUCAUUCAGGAAAUAGAGGAGUGUUUCCUCUUUAUUUUUGCUGAGUCCUGCAGCCAGGAGGGUAAUACACUCUGAUCCCCUCAGUCUGAAUCUUCUCAUUGUCUUAUAGGAUUCAAGAAAUGGAAGGAUGAUUCUUGUAAGGAGAAGUUCUCCUUUGUUUGCAAGUUCAAAUACUGGAGGCAAUUGUAAAAUGGACGUCUAGAAUUGGUCUACCAGUUACUAUGGAGUAAAAGAAUUAAACUGGACCAUCUCUCUCCAUAUCAAUCUGGACCAUCUCUCCUCUGCUAAAUUUGCAUGACUGAUCUUUAGUAUCUUUACCUACCUCAAUUUCUGGAGCCCUAAACAAUAAAAAUAAACAUGUUUCCCCCAU
This is a long non-coding RNA of Homo sapiens (human), 1710 nucleotides long. NCBI's taxonomy places the organism in Eukaryota, Metazoa, Chordata, Mammalia, Primates, Hominidae. The record is from Ensembl.